RNAcentral lists this ribosomal RNA (292 nucleotides) under Vibrio cholerae. RNAcentral's name for it is "partial 16S ribosomal RNA". It matches the Rfam family "Bacterial small subunit ribosomal RNA", at positions 1247 to 1533 of the family's 1533-position model. Lineage: Bacteria; Pseudomonadati; Pseudomonadota; Gammaproteobacteria; Vibrionales; Vibrionaceae. The record is from RNAcentral.
CAGCGAUACCGCGAGGUGGAGCGAAUCUCACAAAGUACGUCGUAGUCCGGAUUGGAGUCUGCAACUCGACUCCAUGAAGUCGGAAUCGCUAGUAAUCGCAAAUCAGAAUGUUGCGGUGAAUACGUUCCCGGGCCUUGUACACACCGCCCGUCACACCAUGGGAGUGGGCUGCAAAAGAAGCAGGUAGUUUAACCUUCGGGAGGACGCUUGCCACUUUGUGGUUCAUGACUGGGGUGAAGUCGUAACAAGGUAGCGCUAGGGGAACCUGGCGCUGGAUCACCUCCUUACACGA